UUACCCAUGGUCCCUCAGGCAGGGUCUCUCAGGAGGCUGCGCCCCGAUACCUUCCCCCAGAAUUGAAUCUCACAACCCUACAGAUGUCCAGAAUAGUCAGGGGUUCCUGGAUGCCAUAUUUGAAAAGUAUUCUGAAUCCAGGAACAUAGCUCCCCCACCCCACCCCAACCCCCAGGAGGUUAUUUCCACGAGAAGAACACUUUUGUUUACCUUCAUUAUAAUUAGACUACAAACUCUUCCAGGUAAAACUUGUCUAAACAUAAACUUCUGAGUGCAUACUUCAUCAGUAAGGUUCUUUCUAGCGACUCAUUGUGUGGAACAGGCCAUCUGCUCACCCACAGGAAACAGUCUGGGUCAAGCCUCAAAAGCCACAUUGUCGCUCUGUUCCUGGGAUCCCUGAGCCACAAUGCAUGUCAUCUAUUCCAAAAAAGAUGUUCAUGGAAUUAAGGCCUCAACUAUUAUGGCCUAGGAAUCAUACAGGAUGAAAAGCCCCAGGAGGCUGGAAGGGAUUAACCACAGGCUCAGGUGUUAAAUCCUCCCACAGAGACACCUGCAAUCUACGAGCUGGAGAGAAUUUUCAGCCAGAAACACUCUGGUGAUGUGCACUUUUGCUGCUGCAGAAAAAUCUCUCCAGGGGUGAUUGAUGGCACUGAGAGAAAAGGAGGCCUUGAUAAACAGCCACGACCACAACAGCGAUACCACGAGCAAACUGACCAGCUUGCCAAAUGCUGCUCUCAGCACUUUCCAUCUCAAUCUCACCACAGCAGCAUGGCUUUACACUUUCAAAUGAGGAAACUGAGGCACCUAGAGAGAUUCAGUAACUUGCUCAAACUUAAAACACUUUAUACGGAAGGACUUUGGAAAGCAUUUGGCCAGGCGCCUGAUUUAACAGUUAAGAUGAAGUGCUUGGCUUCAAUUGCAACUGGUGAUUCCAGCAGUAAGUUACUCCAGUGCAGACUCCAGGAGCAGCAAUGACGGUGAAGUGACUGGGUCCUUGUCACAUAUACUGAAACCAGAGUGAUUUCCCAGCUCCUGGUUUCCAUCCCCAGAGUCUUGGUAACAUUUAAAUGAUCACAAAGAUAGGGAACACAGCUCUUAACCUCUGGGUAUUUUGUGCAGCCCU
Ochotona princeps (American pika) is the source of this 1123-nucleotide long non-coding RNA. RefSeq lists it as uncharacterized. The transcript has 3 exons. The record is from RefSeq and is a predicted model, not a curated record. Lineage: Eukaryota; Metazoa; Chordata; Mammalia; Lagomorpha; Ochotonidae.